GUCUGUGAAAGAACAGCUGGAUCUUGUGAAGUGCUGGAAAUUUUCUCUUUAGUGUAAGUGGUCCACGGCUGAAGCAGUCGGACCACCUUUGAAAAUAACGUGUAAUUGUUAUUUCUCAUUUUGCCACAUCCUGUGGAGACAAAAGAUUAGUGUUGUGUCUUUUCAUUUUUUAUUUUUCUUCUUGGGGAAAAUAAUAUUGACAAUGGAGUUGAGUAUAAGCCUGCUCUUGAGGUUCACAGAUGAUACCUUUGAUCCAGAACUUGCAGCAACAAUAGUAAAAGAAAGUCUAUAAUAUAUCAACUGUGCCAAGGGAAGACAACAGUAAACUUACAAGUCUCUUUCCAGCAAUCUAAAUUAGUAAUUC
RNAcentral lists this long non-coding RNA (364 nucleotides) under Homo sapiens (human). RNAcentral's name for it is "PREDICTED lncRNA (TCONS_00026209)". The record is from RNAcentral. Lineage: Eukaryota; Metazoa; Chordata; Mammalia; Primates; Hominidae.